Molecule: long non-coding RNA, 826 nt
Organism: Oreochromis niloticus (Nile tilapia)
Lineage: Eukaryota; Metazoa; Chordata; Actinopteri; Cichliformes; Cichlidae
Exons: 3
Source: RefSeq, a predicted model, not a curated record
UCUGCUGAUAGAAGCCACACAGGAAACACCCCUGCUCACUGCCUUUGCACUUCAGCCUUCAAUCUGCAGGAAGACGACAUGGAGGUGACAGCUCUGUGCAUCAGAUGAUGGGAACAUAGACUCACAUAGCAAAACUAACAUGAGAACACCAACACCAGCACAUGCACCAUCAACAAUGUUUAUCCAGAUGACAGUGGGGAGUACUGGUGUCAGGCUGAUGGAGGGAACAGAAGCAACAGUAUCAACAUCUCUGUCAUUGGUAACAAGGAGAUAUGACUCUGUGCUGCAAAAAGAAGAUGGCUUCUUCCACCUUCACAACUGAUUUCAAUUAAUCUGGACGUCACAUUCAUUGGAGAUACACUGAGAAAUGCUCAUCCACAGUGUUUCCAAGGACUUUACGAGUGUAGCAUUUCACGAGCUAGAGAAUCACCUGAGAGCUUGCUCAGUGUCACAGGUGUUAUGCUGCUUUUAUAUUGUCUGAUAUAAGCAAAUGAAGCAGGUGCACAAAAUGUCCCCCUGUGUUUUUACUAGCUCAUAAUGCUAGAUGUGUAACAUUUUAAAUAUUGUCUUUAUAUAAAGAAGCUUGAAUUAACAUUUAGAUAUUUUAUCUUCCCAUUAAAAUUGUUAUCUUUUACACAUUCAGCAACUAAUCCAGACAUUUACAAAGAGACGAGACUUUGCUCCUCUGGUAACAUACCAUGGCUCAUUGCCACUACUGUAUUCAGUGCUCUGUUGUUGUUGGUGGGAUUGUAUCACUGUAGCAAAUGUUGCUGGGAGAGAGGUAAAGAAAACUUUGCACAUACAUUUUAUGUUUAUUGCGUUUGCU